GACGAACGCUGGCGGCGUGCUUAACACAUGCAAGUCGAACGCUGAAGCUUGGUGCUUGCACUGGGUGGAUGAGUGGCGAACGGGUGAGUAAUACGUGAGUAACCUGCCCUUGACUCUGGGAUAAGCCUGGGAAACUGGGUCUAAUACUGGAUAUGACAUGCCACUGCAUGGUGGUGUGUGGAAAGGGUUUUACUGGUUUUGGAUGGGCUCACGGCCUAUCAGCUUGUUGGUGGGGUAAUGGCCUACCAAGGCGACGACGGGUAGCCGGCCUGAGAGGGUGACCGGCCACACUGGGACUGAGACACGGCGCAGACUCCUACGGGAGGCAGCAGUGGGGAAUAUUGCACAAUGGGCGGAAGCCUGAUGCAGCGACGCCGCGUGAGGGAUGACGGCCUUCGGGUUGUAAACCUCUUUCAGCACGGAAGAAGCGAGAGUGACGGUACGUGCAGAAGAAGCGCCGGCUAACUACGUG
RNAcentral lists this ribosomal RNA (472 nucleotides) under uncultured bacterium. RNAcentral describes it as "partial 16S ribosomal RNA". It matches the Rfam family "Bacterial small subunit ribosomal RNA", at positions 28 to 507 of the family's 1533-position model. The record is from RNAcentral.